Molecule: transfer RNA, 72 nt
Filed under: Camelus bactrianus (Bactrian camel)
Lineage: Eukaryota; Metazoa; Chordata; Mammalia; Artiodactyla; Camelidae
Also listed under: 2 other names
Rfam family: tRNA
About the family: Transfer RNA (tRNA) molecules are approximately 80 nucleotides in length.
Source: Rfam by way of RNAcentral
GAGGGUAUAGCUCAGUAGUAGAGUGCUUGCUUAGCAUGCAUGAGGUCCUGGGUUCAAUCCCCAGUAUUGCCA